AGUCCCCUCCCCCACGGGGAAAAACGCUAAUACUUUAUCUUUUUUUCCCUCGCAUGAGGGAUAUGAGAAAGACGGUUUCCGCUGUCACUUAUGGAUGGACCUGCGGCGCAUUAUCUAUUUGGUGAUGUAACGGCUCACCAGGGCGACGAUGCGUAGCCGACCUGAGAGGGUGAUCGGCCACACUGGGACUGAGACACUGCCCAAACUCCUACGGGAGGCAGCAGUAGGGAAUCUUCCGCAGUGGGCGAAAGCCUGACGGAGCAACUCCGCGUGAGUGAUGAAGGCCUUCAUGUCGUAAAUCUCUGUUGCCAAAGAAGAACGCUUGAGAGAGUAACUGCUCCUGAUGUGACGGUACUUGAAAAGAAAGCCCCGGAUAACUACGUGCCAACAGCCGCGGUAAUACUUAUGGGGCAAGCGUUGUCCAGAAUUAUUGGGCGUAAAGCGCGCGCACGCGGCUAUAUAAGUUGGGUGUUUAAACCUAGGGCUCAACCUUGUGUCACACCCAAAA
RNAcentral lists this ribosomal RNA (508 nucleotides) under Paenibacillus sp. Its description in RNAcentral is "bacterial SSU rRNA". It matches the Rfam family "Bacterial small subunit ribosomal RNA", at positions 120 to 632 of the family's 1533-position model. Lineage: Bacteria; Bacillati; Bacillota; Bacilli; Caryophanales; Paenibacillaceae. The record is from RNAcentral.